CGUGCUCAGGACGAACGCUGGCGGCGUGCUUAACACAUGCAAGUCGAACGAUGAAGCCCUUCGGGGUGGAUUAGUGGCGAACGGGUGAGUAACACGUGGGCAAUCUGCCCUUCACUCUGGGACAAGCCCUGGAAACGGGGUCUAAUACCGGAUAACACUCCUCAGAGCAUUCUGGGGGGUUAAAAGCUCCGGCGGUGAAGGAUGAGCCCGCGGCCUAUCAGCUUGUUGGUGGGGUAAUGGCCUACCAAGGCGACGACGGGUAGCCGGCCUGAGAGGGCGACCGGCCACACUGGGACUGAGACACGGCCCAGACUCCUACGGGAGGCAGCAGUGGGGAAUAUUGCACAAUGGGCGAAAGCCUGAUGCAGCGACGCCGCGUGAGGGAUGACGGCCUUCGGGUUGUAAACCUCUUUCAGCAGGGAAGAAGCGAAAGUGACGGUACCUGCAGAAGAAGCGCCGGCUAACUACGUGCCAGCAGCCGCGGUAAUACGUAGGGCGCAAGCGUUGUCCGGAAUUAUUGGGCGUAAAGAGCUCGUAGGCGGCUUGUCACGUCGGAUGUGAAAGCCCGGGGCUUAACCCCGGGUCUGCAUUCGAUACGGGCUAGCUAGAGUGUGGUAGGGGAGAUCGGAAUUCCUGGUGUAGCGGUGAAAUGCGCAGAUAUCAGGAGGAACACCGGUGGCGAAGGCGGAUCUCUGGGCCAUUACUGACGCUGAGGAGCGAAAGCGUGGGGAGCGAACAGGAUUAGAUACCCUGGUAGUCCACGCCGUAAACGUUGGGAACUAGGUGUUGGCGACAUUCCACGUCGUCGGUGCCGCAGCUAACGCACU
RNAcentral lists this ribosomal RNA (827 nucleotides) under Streptomyces sp. RNAcentral's name for it is "bacterial SSU rRNA". It matches the Rfam family "Bacterial small subunit ribosomal RNA", at positions 19 to 861 of the family's 1533-position model. Lineage: Bacteria; Bacillati; Actinomycetota; Actinomycetes; Kitasatosporales; Streptomycetaceae. The record is from RNAcentral.